Molecule: ribosomal RNA, 320 nt
Filed under: uncultured Prevotella sp.
Lineage: Bacteria; Pseudomonadati; Bacteroidota; Bacteroidia; Bacteroidales; Prevotellaceae
Description: partial 16S ribosomal RNA
Source: RNAcentral
GGAGUCUGGUCCGUGUCUCAGUACCAGUGUGGGGGACCUUCCUCUCAGAACCCCUACUGAUCGUCGGCUAGGUGGGCCGUUACCCCGCCUACAACCUAAUCAGACGCAUCCCCAUCCCUUAGCGAUGAAUCUUUGGUUUGAUUUAGAUGUCCGCUUCAAACAACAUAGAGUAUUAAUCCGACUUUCGCCGGGCUAUCCUCUACUAAGGGGAAGGUUGGAUACGCGUUACUCACCCGUGCGCCGGUCGCCAUCAAUCUUAGCAAGCUAAGAUCAUGAUGCCCCUCGACUUGCAUGUGUUAAGCCUGUAGCUAGCGUUCAUC